GAUGAACGCUAGCUACAGGCUUAACACAUGCAAGUCGAGGGGUAACGAGAGGAAAGCUUGCUUUCCUUGUCGACGACCGGCGCACGGGUGAGUAACGCGUAUCCAACCUGCCCCCAACUAGGGAAUAACCUUGCGAAAGUAAGACUAAUACCCUAUAAUUUCCUCAGAUGUCAUCUGACGAGGAAUAAAGAUUUAUCGGUUGUGGAUGGGGAUGCGUCUGAUUAGCUUGUUGGCGGGGUAACGGCCCACCAAGGCAACGAUCAGUAGGGGUUCUGAGAGGAAGGGCCCCCACAUUGGAACUGAGACACGGUCCAAACUCCUACGGGAGGCAGCAGUGAGGAAUAUUGGUCAAUGGGCGGAAGCCUGAACCAGCCAAGUAGCGUGCAGAUGACGGCCCUAUGGGUUGUAAACUGCUUUUAUACAGGAAUAAAGUUAGCCACGUGUGGUUAUUUGUAGGUACUGUAUGAAUAAGGACCGGCUAAUUCCGUGCCAGCAGCCGCAGUAA
Molecule: ribosomal RNA, 505 nt
Filed under: uncultured bacterium
Lineage: Bacteria
Description: partial 16S ribosomal RNA
Rfam family: Bacterial small subunit ribosomal RNA
Source: RNAcentral